CCUACGGGUGGCAGCAGUGGGGGAUAUUGCACAAUGGGGGAAACCCUGAUGCAGCGACGCCGCGUGAGUGAAGAAGUAAUUCGUUACGUAAAGCUCUAUCAGUAGGGAAGAAACACUGACCUUACGGUCAGCAGACGGUACCUGAGUAAGAAGCCCCGGCUAACUACGUGCCAGCAGCCGCGGGAAUACGUAGGGGGAAAGCGUUAUCCGGAUUUACUGGUGGUAAAGGGAGCGGAGACGGGGCGCCAAGUCUGGAGUGAAAUGCCGCAGCUUAAAUGCGGGACGGCUUUGGAAACUGGCGAACUAGAGGGCGGGAGGGGUAAGCGGAAUUCCUGGUGUAGCGGUGAAAUGCGUAGAUAUUAGGAGGAACACCGGUGGCGAAGGCGGCUUACUGGACCGUAACUGACGUUGAGGCUCGAAAGCGUGGGGAGCAAACAGGAUUAGAUACCCGAGUAGUC
Molecule: ribosomal RNA, 458 nt
Filed under: uncultured bacterium
Lineage: Bacteria
Description: partial 16S ribosomal RNA
Rfam family: Bacterial small subunit ribosomal RNA
Source: RNAcentral